RNAcentral lists this ribosomal RNA (484 nucleotides) under uncultured bacterium. RNAcentral's name for it is "partial 16S ribosomal RNA". It matches the Rfam family "Bacterial small subunit ribosomal RNA", at positions 30 to 507 of the family's 1533-position model. The record is from RNAcentral.
AUUGAACGCUAGCGGGAUGCUUUACACAUGCAAGUCGAACGGCAGCGCGGACUUCGGUCUGGCGGCGAGUGGCGAACGGGUGAGUAAUGUAUCGGAACGUGCCCAGUAGCGGGGGAUAACUACGCGAAAGCGUAGCUAAUACCGCAUACGCCCUACGGGGGAAAGCAGGGGAUCGUAAGACCUUGCACUAUUGGAGCGGCCGAUAUCGGAUUAGCUAGUUGGUGAGGUAACGGCUCACCAAGGCGACGAUCCGUAGCUGGUUUGAGAGGACGACCAGCCACACUGGGGCUGAGACACGGCCCAGACUCCUACGGGAGGCAGCAGUGGGGAAUUUUGGACAAUGGGGGCAACCCUGAUCCAGCCAUCCCGCGUGUGCGAUGAAGGCCUUCGGGUUGUAAAGCACUUUUGGCAGGAAAGAAACGUCGCGGGCUAAUACCCCGUGGAACUGACGGUACCUGCAGAAUAAGCACCGGCUAACUACGUG